UACGUAGGGGGCUAGCGUUGUCCGGAUUUAUUGGGCGUAAAGAGCGUGUAGGCGGCCAGGUAGGUCCGUUGUGAAAACUCGAGGCUCAACCUCGAGACGUCGGCGGAAACCCUCUGGCUAGAGUCCGGAAGAGGAGAGUGGAAUUCCUGGUGUAGCGGUGAAAUGCGUAGAUAUGCGGAGGAACACCGAUGGCGAAGGCGACUGCCUGGACCAGCACUGACACUGAGGCACGAAAGCGUGGGGAGCAAACAGG
RNAcentral lists this ribosomal RNA (253 nucleotides) under uncultured bacterium. Its description in RNAcentral is "partial 16S ribosomal RNA". It matches the Rfam family "Bacterial small subunit ribosomal RNA", at positions 524 to 776 of the family's 1533-position model. The record is from RNAcentral.